Molecule: long non-coding RNA, 291 nt
Filed under: Mustela putorius furo (domestic ferret)
Lineage: Eukaryota; Metazoa; Chordata; Mammalia; Carnivora; Mustelidae
Description: lncRNA (ENSMPUG00000031883.1)
Source: RNAcentral
CCAGGCCCCUUAUGUAGACCAUCACAUUCUUACAUGCCAGGCAGACAAAGGCCAGAGCUGCAUUUAAAGAUCAGACAGAGGCAAAGGUGGCAAGUACUUGGAGGAGUUCCAGUUACCCGUGGUCAACUGAAGUUUGAAGUUCAGAGGCAGAUAACCCUCCUGGAGAAUCUGGAGAAGGUCGAAAGUGGUCCAAUGCUAUGUCAUAGUGCCUGCAUCGCUGACCUCUCUUUGUCUCAUCAUGGAGGCAUUUCGUCAUUUCCCUUGAUCACAGAAAGAAAGGGCGACAGAUGA